Molecule: long non-coding RNA, 1223 nt
Organism: Zonotrichia leucophrys gambelii
Lineage: Eukaryota; Metazoa; Chordata; Aves; Passeriformes; Passerellidae
Exons: 2
Source: RefSeq, a predicted model, not a curated record
CAGGGUUCUCUUGGAACGACUGAUUGUAAAUAGGCCUCAUCCCUGGGGUCUCCUUAUCACGUUUAUUGAGCUGAUCAAAAAUCCAGCCUUUAAGUUCUGGAACCAUGAGUUUGUUCACUGUGCUCCAGAAAUUGAGAAGUUGUUCCAGUCGGUUGCACAGUGCUGCAUGGGGCAGAAGCAGGCUCAGCAAGUCAUGGAAGGGACUGGUGCCAGUUAGAUGAGCUGCAUCCUGCGUUGUAAGAGUGCCAGCCUGGAGGUCCCGUCCCAUCAACUGACUGAAGACUCUGUAAGGCUCCUCCUGACCUUCCCAGCCCCCUUGAUUGGGUAGACACAACAGACCCUGGGUGAAAGUCUUAAGUGGGCAUGUUCCAAAGUUUGAAACAAAAUUUUUGACUUUCGGCCAAACUUCAGAAGAUGCUGUGAAUAUCAUUUGAACUAGUGUAAAUACAAGGAACAGAAACAUUUGUCUGGACUUUUGGGUUUGUGCAAAUUGUGUAAAAGGCAGGUGGGUAACUGGUGCCUGUCCAUCUUGUAAUAAAGGGGCAGCUGCUGAUGCCAAGCACUUGUCUGGGGCAGACCUCCUUGUCCUGACAUUCCCAGACUCCCAAAGAAUAUUGAAAAGCCAGUAACUUAUUUUUCUUUAUGUGAAUGGGGGACCUUUAAAUCACUAAGUUGUUUAAAGAAAAAAAAAGUGGAUGUGUUUGGAAUAUGGGAAUUCUGUGGAGUACAGGAGGGGUGAGGGAGGGGUUAAGGUUCAGUGUUGCUUUCCCCUCACCCUCAUCAAAUGCUGAUAGACAGCAAGUGAAGUGGCAGUCAGAGAAUGCCUCCUUUUUGUUGGAGAAGAAACAGGCCCUUUGGGUGAGGGUCAGCUGUUUUCAGUAAAUAAACCAGAGACCAGGCCUAUAGCUUUUUUUUUUUUUUUUUUGGACAGUUGUAAAUUUUGGAAGAUGAGGGGUAAAAUCUAGACCUUUUCCCACCCUCCCCUGUGACCACACAGUAUAAGUUUGUAAAAAAAAACCUAAAAAAAGAAAAAAAAAGAAAAAAUUUAACAAAACAAAAAACCCAAAGGACCAAUACAGCCCAUUUUGUAAGGAUUUUCAAUGUUUUGUAAAGUAUUGGUCCACGUGUUGUAUUUUGUAGCCUUUCUAGUUCUUGGGCUUUAGUUCUCCCACUCUUGUAUGUAUGCAUACUGUAGUUACACAUUAAAGUCAUGACAUGCAGCA